This 2141-nucleotide long non-coding RNA is filed under the name Gallus gallus (chicken). Its description in RNAcentral is "lncRNA (ENSGALG00010008868.1)". Lineage: Eukaryota; Metazoa; Chordata; Aves; Galliformes; Phasianidae. The record is from RNAcentral.
GGCAGGAGAAAUGAAGGAAAGCAGUUGGACUUUUUCAUCGAUGAGAUUGCUUUUAGAAGAGCAGAAGAGCAGUUCAAUCUGAAGCCUGCCAUCAUAGUUGAAAAGUUAAUUUUCAGUCUCAGUGGAAGCUGGACAUCAAAUUGGGCCUUCGAAGCUGAGGACUUAACUCACAGAUAGCCUUGAAGUGGAAUGACUGCAACAGUUUCUGCAGAAAAAGGCAGGUGGCAGUGCUAUAUUAGGUAGUUUUCCAAUCAUGUAGACAGGCAGCGACACUCUCCUAGACCUAUUAGUUCAACACCUCUUGAGCAGUUCACGCACUUAUGAGAGACUCUUGAUAAGACAGAUCCAUGUACAAAGGCAAUUUCACCCAUCCUCAUGCCUCAUAUAGUAAAGAAAAAUUGCAAUUAAUGUCAUUGCUUUUAAUAGGAGUGGGAAAAGUACUCCUUACCACAUUAAGAAGUUGCAAGAUCCAACCAUAAAGGAAGUUUUUUCCAAGUGCAGGCAUGAGAUAAAGGUGCACUGUGCCAAUAAUUCUCACUACUACUGGAAAAAGUAGAAGUACUUAUUUUCUUUUUGAUCUAAAAUUUAAUGCAUUGAGGGAUAGAGAGAGAGAGAGAGAGAUUGACCGCACAAAAAUAAUUUUCUUCCCAGCGUAGUACUUUGUGAAAUUAGAAAGUAUUAUUUUGUUAAUGGAGAAAGACUUAAUUAAUAGACAGUGCUGAAUGAGAGACAUGUACAGUGUCUAUAAGGUUUCCAGUUCAUGACUACUACCAUCAUCCUGAAUUAAAUCCCUGACAGCAGGCUGGAUGCUGCACAUGACAGAAAAUUCCAUUCCGCUCCCUGAAGAGCUUAAGGUCUGAUUUAGCUCCCAUCAAAAUCAAUGAAGAUUUGCUCAUUAAGUUAAGAGAAGGGGGCUGAUUUCAUCGGUCCCAGUUCUGACUUUAGGAUCAUAGUCACAUACUGCUUUGAGUAGGCAGUUUCAGUGAAUCUAAGCCCAAGAUGACAUUCAGCAAGCUUCUUUGCAAGUGGAAUACCUACUGAAAGCACUUUUUCCCCAGUCAAAAAGAUGCUUUCAAAUGAAAAGAGUAGAAUGCUUUUGGUGUCAUUCACCGCAUCCAGCACACGCAGAGCAAGAUGAGGUGGAAGAGAUGCUGUUCAGCUUGUUCAGCCACCGGGAGCAACAGGAGAGGCCUGAUCCUGAAAGGGAUCCUUUAAUUUUUUGCAGUUCAUUUUCAAUGGAACAACAGCAGAAACUUCUCCUAGAAAUCUAUUACUGCUUACGUUUAUUGAUUUUAUUAAAAAAGGCAUGCAUAUGAUUUGCUAAUUGUGAUAUAGGUAAAUUCUUUCCCUUUUUAUAAGGAAAACAGAAACCAACUAAGGGCCACGAACUAAAUAUGUUUGCUCAUUGUUAAAACAUGUUUUGGGUUUUUUUUUUUGUUUCCAUCUGUCUGAAAAGUAAAUUGUAUUGGAGCCCUUUGUUUGUAGCAAACUAGCAGGAGGUAGGCAUUUUCAUUAAAAAUGUAGUAGCACAGAAUUCUUCAAAGAUUUUCAUGAACUACAAUCCCACAGCAUGAGAAACUGAUGUCAAAAGAAAGUGAAAUAAAUAAAUAAAUAAAUAAAUAAAGCUCUAAUAAAAGUGUAGUAGCUGUAAUAAUACUUCUUAACGUCAGGAUGAACCCAAGGUAGCUUUGUACUAAACGCUUUUUCCAGCAUGAAAGUAAAAGCUGGUUACUACUACAAAGACUUUAAAUAUUAGGCAAGGCAGCAGAUGGACACAAGCAGAUGGGAAGGAGAAUAAAGGGACAGGUCACAAAUACUGUCCAUCAGCUUGCCUGGCAGUUGUCUCAGUACACCAAGAGCUUAACUAUAGUCGUGCUUUGGGUGGCUGUGAUUAUUUAGGGCAUGACUGACUGGGUGUUUUUUGUGGUCUGUUAUAUUUUUUUAUUUUUUAGUUUUUUUAAAAUGUAAGCAUUAUUGCAAUUGAAGGUAUUAAAGCAACUUGAAGCAGGAUAAUGAAAUAGCUCUGUAGAUAUUGAGGGGGAGAAUCAAGGGCACAGAUAAUCCCACAGUGUCAUUGCUACUUUCCUCUCUAAGGAUUUGUGUCACUUUUAUACAAUCAAUAAGUAAAUAAAUGGCUUCAG